GAUGAACGCUAGCUACAGGCUUAACACAUGCAAGUCGAGGGGAAACGACAUCGAAAGCUUGCUUUUGAUGGGCGUCGAUCGGCGCACGGGUGAGUAACGCGUAUCCAACCUGCCCAUCACUUGGGGAUAACCUUGCGAAAGUAAGACUAAUACCCAAUGAUAUCUCUAGAAGACAUCUGAAAGAGAUUAAAGAUUUAUCGGUGAUGGAUGGGGAUGCGUCUGAUUAGCUUGUUGGCGGGGUAACGGCCCACCAAGGCAACGAUCAGUAGGGGUUCUGAGAGGAAGGUCCCCCACAUUGGAACUGAGACACGGUCCAAACUCCUACGGGAGGCAGCAGUGAGGAAUAUUGGUCAAUGGGCGAGAGCCUGAACCAGCCAAGUAGCGUGCAGGAAGACGGCCCUAUGGGUUGUAAACUGCUUUUAUAAGGGAAUAAAGUGAGAGUCGUGACUCUUUUUGUAUGUACCUGAUGAAUAAGGACCGGCUAAUUCCGU
Molecule: ribosomal RNA, 491 nt
Filed under: uncultured bacterium
Lineage: Bacteria
Description: partial 16S ribosomal RNA
Rfam family: Bacterial small subunit ribosomal RNA
Source: RNAcentral